Molecule: ribosomal RNA, 454 nt
Filed under: uncultured bacterium
Lineage: Bacteria
Description: bacterial SSU rRNA
Rfam family: Bacterial small subunit ribosomal RNA
Source: RNAcentral
AUUCUUAGUAGGAAAGGUUAAAAUUUUAUGAUAUUAAGAAGACGAACCAGCGAAGGCGACUAUCCAUUACAUUACUGACACUGAAAUAACAAAAGUAUAGGGAGUAAAGAGGAUUAGACUACCCUCGUAAUCUAUACCGUGACCUAUGAGUAUUAGAAAUUGGGAUAUUAAUUCUAUUUUCCAGCUAACGCGUAAAUACUCCGCCUGGGGACUAAGGUCGCAAGAUUAAAACUCAAAGAAAUUGACGGAGAUUUGACCAAGUAGUGGAGCAUGUGGUUUAAUCCGAUAGUCCGCGUAAAAUCUUACCAAUUCUAGUUUAUAUGUUUUAAUAUAUAAAUAUAUUAAAUUAAAUUUAAAUUAAUUUUAGUAAUUAAUUAAAUAACAUAUAAUCAGGUGUUGCAUGGCUGUCGUCAGUUCGUGUUGUGAAAUAUUUGAUUAAUUUCAAAAAACGGGC